Molecule: non-coding RNA, 567 nt
Organism: Arvicanthis niloticus (Nile rat)
Lineage: Eukaryota; Metazoa; Chordata; Mammalia; Rodentia; Muridae
Source: RefSeq, a predicted model, not a curated record
CUGCUGGAGGCUGCAGGCGGAGAGAUAUAGCCGAGACCAUCUUUUAGUGUGUGUUGUUAUUUACUAGCGCUGUGAAUCAAGGAAGCGAAAUAACAAAAGAGCCCAAAGACUGCACAGCUCCAGCAUGUAGGCCCUGGAGAGAGUCUGGAAUCCUCAGACGGACAGAAAAGAAAACAUCAGAAGGACAACCAGGGGUGCCUGUGGCUGCUGAGUACAGGACCAGCAGCCCGGUGGUGGAACCAUCCAGCAAGCCAUCCGGUGAGCCGGGCAUUUUGACAUCAAUCAUCAAUCAAAAAAGGACACCUCCAGUGGCCAAUCAUCUCAUGAGGGGAUUUUCUCAGAUAUGAAUCAGAGAGAAAGAAGUGAAAUCUUGUCCUAGGAAGAAAGGGAGCGAUUGGCAGAAGACUUUUCUCUGGAAACAGGAGCAGUAGUUGCUACCUUGGGGAAGUUGUCUGGUGACAUUUACUUGUGCUAAAGUACCAAGGACAGCAUGCUGCCUGCGUGUAGCCCUCAGACCUACUGCAGCCCUGGGCACAUGGUGGACACUUAAUAAACUCUUAAAUUAUA